RNAcentral lists this ribosomal RNA (253 nucleotides) under uncultured bacterium. Its description in RNAcentral is "partial 16S ribosomal RNA". It matches the Rfam family "Bacterial small subunit ribosomal RNA", at positions 524 to 776 of the family's 1533-position model. The record is from RNAcentral.
UACGUAGGGUGCAAGAGUUUUCCGGAAUUAUUGGGCGUAAAGAGCUCGUAGGCGGUUUGUCACGUCGGGUGUGAAAGACCGGGGCUCAACCCCGGGUCUGCACUAGAUACGGGCAGACUUGAGUUCGGCAGGGGAGACUGGAAUUCCUGGUAUAGCGGUGAAAUGCGCAGAUAUCAGGAGGAACACCGGUGGAGAAGGCGGGUCUCUGGGCCGAUACUGACGCUGAGGAGCGAAAGCGUGGGGAGCAAACAGG